RNAcentral lists this ribosomal RNA (434 nucleotides) under uncultured bacterium. Its description in RNAcentral is "partial 16S ribosomal RNA". It matches the Rfam family "Bacterial small subunit ribosomal RNA", at positions 29 to 507 of the family's 1533-position model. The record is from RNAcentral.
AGCGAACGCUGGCGGCAUGCCUAACACAUGCAAGUCGAACGAACCUUUCGGGGUUAGUGGCGGACGGGUGAGUAACACGUGGGAACGUGCCCUUAGGUUCGGAAUAACUCAGGGAAACGUGUGCUAAUACCGAAUGUGCCCUUCGGGGCAAAGAUUUAUCGCCUUUAGAUCGGCCCGCGUCUGGUUAGCUAGUUGGUUGAGGUAAUGGCUCACCAAGGCGACGAUCAAUAGCUGGUCUGAGAGGAGGAUAAGCCACAUUGGGACUGAGACACGGCCCAAACUCCUACGGGAAGCAGCAGUGGGGAAUCUUGCACAAUGGGCGAAAGCCUGACGCAGCCAUGCCGCGUGAAUGAUGAAGGUCUUAGGAUUGUAAAAUUCUUUCACCAGGGACGAUAAUGACGGUACCCGGAGAAGAAGCCCCGGCUAACUUCGUG